UGACCGUUCUACUCUUUUAAUUCCUUAACACUGUAUAAUUUGUCAAAAAUGGUUACUGGUAGGGCUGUUAUCAAUUUAUCAUGCGUAAUCUUUGUGUUUGUUUUUUUUUGUUUGAUUGUCCUAGUAACAGAUUUGAGUGUUUAGGAGUCAUCAUCAAGAACAAUGGGGAAUGAAACUGAUAAGAAGUUCACUUGGGUUAUUAAGAAUUUCUCCUCUUGGCGAUCCAAGUGUGUUCGGUCUCGUACAUUCGUGGUCGGUCGAUGCAAAUGGUAAGAACAAGAACUUGUCUGCAUGUGAUACAAUCGUGUUCCGUAGCUGCAAAUGACACAACUUUUGCAUGGUACUUGCUCGCAGGAGUCUUGGCGCCUUUCCGAGAGGAGUUGACAACGCUAGUUGUUUUUUAUCUCUGUAUUUGGUUGUUCCUAAUCCUGAAUCUUUGCCUUCUGGAUGGAGAUGACACGCUAAAUUCUCCUUUACUGUUUUAAAUCAAAUUCCUGGAGAAGUCUCUCAACUGCGAGGUGAUAUAUGUGUUUCUAUCUAUCUAUGCCUUAUUUGAGAAUGUAAAUGAUGAUGAUAUCCAAUCUGUUUUGUGAAUUUUCAGAAAUUCAAUACUGGUUUGAUCAGAAGGACAGCAUGCAGGGUUUUCAGUCGAUGAUUCGUCUUUCCGACCUUAAUGCCAGAGAUAGCGGGUUUCUUGUGAAUGGUGAACUCAAGAUUGUUGCAGAGGUUGAUGUUCUUGAAGUUGUAGGUGAACUAGAUGUACCAGUGGUAGCUACAGACGUCGUCGAUAUCAAUGGGUUUCAAGUCCUUGCUUCACAAGUAAAGAAAAACACAAGAAUAAAACAAGGCCUUAGUGUCUCUCACUUGAGUUUUACUCAACGUUUUUCUUUUUUUGCAGGUAGAAUCUGUGAACAUUUUGUUUGAAAAGCAUCCAAACAUUGCAUCAAAUGUCCGUGCAAAGAAUUCACAUCUGAGAACAACAUACUUGAAUAUCUUACUAAGCUUGACUGAGAUUCUAUCCAAGUCUCCUGAGGAAAUCUCCAACAGUGAUAUGGUUGAAGCAUAUUCUGCACUGAGAUUUGUUAUAAAUGCGGGGUUUAAGUUGGACUGGUUGGAGAAGGCACUGAAAGAAGCUUGUGAGAUUCGGAUUAAAGAAAUUGAGGAAAAAUUGAGUGACUUGACUGAAAAACGAGCAGACAUGGAUGCUCUGCUGAACAGCCUAAAAUGAUGUUUAGAGUUUAAAAUCUAUUUGGUGUUCUGCUCUGUUUGUUUUCUGUUUUCGUUUUCUAAAAUUCAAUGUUCUUGAACUAGGGGGUGAUGAAGAGACUUGUGUUGUUAUCAAUGUGCUAAAUGUUUCUUUCUAUUAACUUUUUGUUUCUUGACAAUGGGAAAUUAGGAAUGCCAGUGUGUUUAGUAUUAAAAUAGACAUUGUGGUUUAGGAUUUGCAUACAUGCUAAAGGCCGUAUUUAUGGGUUUAAUAUGUUAGAUUAUGUUCUUUGCUAAGUUGAUUAUGGAAUUAACUUUAGCAAUUCGCUCACAGUAGUGAAAAUUUAAGGUUAAUGACUUAAUGCACAGCAGAUUUGUAGCUUAAUGCGUUUGAUUUUUGACCCGUUCACUCCGUAGGUGGGCGCAACAGAAGUGAAUAGGCCCAUAACCCACAUGUCCCAGGAACAAAACCAUUAUGCUCCUCAGCCAUACAUGUUUCCUAAAUAACAACCUUCCCUACCAUCCCAUCUAGUAUACCAUAUGAAGUUUUUAGAUGGAGGCUGUUGUUCAGGAGACAUGUAUGGCCGAAGAACAGAAACUCUUCAAAACUGCUCAGCCUAAGUCAAGAAAAAUAUUUUAGAAUCACCUAAGAGGCUAUGGGAUCAGUCAGGUGUCCAGUGCUAUAGUUGUAGAUAGCUCGGAACGUUACAGUUACUUUCUUAAAAUGAGUCAGAAGAUAUGACACCAAAUCCUAUAUUAAGUAUAAGAACUGUCUGACUUUCGACUUUCAAGUUCCAACUUAAUAGUGUUAGUUAUAGACAAGUCUUACGUUCGGUUUAGGUUCAAUAGAUUAGGUUUAGAUUAGAUUCGGUCUAGAAUGGUUAAGCUUGUAAUUGUAUUGAACCGGGCUCUCUCUCUUAUGUUAGGAAACACGCGUGCGGUUUGUGCACGUGUGACGGUUAGCUAACUUGAUUCGUAUAAGAGUUGGUUAGCUGAGGAUAAGUGUUGAUCACUUGAGCUGAUUAGGUUGUUAGAUCAGUGAUCAAGAGAAUCAACGAGAGAGAGAGCAAGGUGAACGAAUUGUAAAGACGGUGGCUCGAGCUGUGAUUUCAUUCGUUGAAGGCUAGUCAGUUGCUGGUUCAAUCCCAUCUCUGAUGAAGUAUAGUGCCACUCCUAGUUAACGGAGUGGUGCGGUGAACACUGGGUCAACAUCUCGCGUGUGCUACUUUGUUCUGUUGAUUCAAGAAGACUAGAAGAAGAAUAUUGCAAGUCAAGGUUGCGUUGAAGAUAGGACGAUCUUCACAAAUUGGUAUCAGAGCGCGGUUAGUGUUCGAUUUUGAUUUCUCGAUCGGAGUUCCAGAUCUACGACAAGAUGGAGAGUACAAUGGCGACGCACAAGAUGGAAUUGAGUGACUAUGUUCGACGGCACAGGCGACUUCAGGGUCAUGAAGAAACGGAUGCUUGCGAAUCUAAGCGUCCAAGGAUUGAAAGACGUUCUGUCACCUCAAUCACAAGCUUUAGUGAUGACGAAGACGGACGAUGAAGACGAGGACUCCAAGAAGAAGAGAGAUCUUGAACAAGUUGCAAGAUCCGAAAGAGAUGAGAAGGCGAUGAACAUAAUCUUCAUGAGCGUAGGAGAUCAUGUUAUGAGGAAGCUAGACAAAUGCAAUUCAGCAUCAGAAGCUUGGGAGUUACUCGACAAGUUAUACAUGGCGAAGACUCUGCCGAAUCGAGUUCAUGCUCAGCUCAAGGUUUACUCCUUUCGUAUGCAAGAUACAAGAACGAUUGAUCAGAAUGUCAAUGAUUUCCUCAAGCUCAUAACGGACCUGAACAAUCUCAACAUAGAGAUACCCGAGGAGGUCCAAGCUAUACUGCUGCUUAACGCUUUGCCUAGUAGAUAUGAUUCCCUGAAGGAGACUCUAAAGUAUAGCAGAGAAGCAAUAAGAGUAGAUGAGAUUGCCAGUGCAGCGAGGUCUAAAUAAAUGGAGUAUAAGGACUCACCUUCUACCAAGUCAAAUGGUGAAGGAAACUUUGUCAGGGAAGGUCAGAAGGCAGGAGCAGAAAUAACUUUGGAGGCAAGAACAAGUUCGAGGCUCGUUCAUAGAGCAAGGAAGGCAAACGCCUAUGUUUGAUCAGCGAGAAAGAGGGCCAUUUCAAGAAACAGUGUCACAAGUGGCUAGAAAGAAACAAAGAACAGAAGUAUGGUCAAGACAAAGGUGAAGCUUCUCUAGCCAGGGAUGAUGCAAAAUAUUUUGUUGGACUACUAGUAACUGAAGCAAAUACAGUGGAGGCAGAUCAUGAUGAGUGGGUACUAGACACUGGGUGUACGUUUCAUAUGACUCCCAGAAGAGAUGUCUUUGUUGAUUUUUAAGAGACAUCACAAGGAAGAGUAAGGAUGGCAAACAACUCAGUGGCUCAUGUUAAAGGUGUGGGAUCAGUUCGGUUUCAGAAUGAUGAUGGUACUACGUUUCUUCUAUCCGAGGUCAGGUUCAUGCCAGACAUUGCAAGAAACUUGAUCUCGAUGGGAACACUUGAAGAGAAGGGUUGCGAAUUUAAAGCAGUGAAUGGUGUUCUCAAAGUCAUCAAAGGAUGCACAGUGGUAAUGAAGGGAGUUAGAAGACAGUCCCUGUAUAUUCUUCAAGCCAAAUCUCAGUCUCUAUCCUCAUACACAGGAGAAACCAGCUCUGCUACAACAACAGAGAAUGUGGGCGAUGCCACACAGUUGUGGCAUAGCAGGCUUGGUCAUUUAGGUCGCAGAGGAAUGGAUGUCUUAUACAAAAAGGGAGUUUUUGGGAGCAGCAAGAUUGAAGAUUUGAAGUUCUGUGAAGCAUGUGUUAUUGGCAAAACACAUAGGGUGAGUUUUAGUCAAGCGAAGCAUGUUUCCAAAGAUAAGCUCGACUAUAUUACUCAGACCUUUGGGGAUCGCCAAAUGUCCCUCACAGUCUCAGUAGAAAUCAGUACUUCAUAUCGUUUACAGACGAUUAUACGAGGAAAGUGUGGUUAUACUUCUUGAAAUUCAAGGAUGAGGCAUUUCAGAGUUUUGUGGUAUGGAAGACCAUGGUCGAGACGCAAAGAGAGAGGAAGGUUAAAAGGUUGAGGACGGACAAUGGGUUGGAGUUUUGCAACAACCAGUUUGAUGGAUUCUGCAAAGAGCAAGGAAUUGUUAGGCACAUAACGUGCACGUAAACGCCAAAACAAAACGGAAUAGCUGAAAGGUUAAACAAGACUAUCAUGAAUAAGGUUCGUAGUAUGCUAAGUGAGAGCGGGUUGGAGCUGAAGUUUUGGGCAGAGGCAGCAGCAGUGGCAGUUUACUUGAUCAACAGAUCACCAUCCUCAGCGCUGGAGUUCAAAAUACCUGAAGAGUUGUGGACAACACAUGAAGUAGAUUUAAGCAAUCUAAGAAGAUUUGGAUGUUUGGCCUAUGUACAUUCUUCAGAAGGGAAACUUCUUCCACGAGCUAAAAAGGGUGUGUUCACAUGUUAUCCAGAAGGUGUGAAGGGUUAUAAAGUAUGGCUUCUAGAAGAGAAGAAGGUUGUGAUCAGUAGGAAUGUUGUCUUUAUAGAAGAGCGAGUUUAUAAAGACUUCAAAAAUGAAGAAAAUAGCGAAAAGGAGAUGAGCACUGAGUCUAUUGUUAUUGAUUUAAAGUUGCUAGAUUCUGAGAGCAAGGAUCAAGAAACUAAAAUGAAAGAGACAAUAAUUAAAGGAGGAGUUUCUCCAACUAUGGAAGCGGGAGAGGAGAAGAAAAAAGAUUUGGAGGAGUAUCAGUUGGCCAGAGAUAGGGUCAGAAGGACAACUAGACAACCUCCAACACUUUCAGAUUAUGAGUGUGAUAUUAUUGAUGGAGAGGAUCAGUUUGCGGGUCUGGUCUGUCUCAUAUCUGAGGAUAAUCUGACAGAACCAAGCUCUUACCAUGAGGCUAUGGCAGAUCCUGACAGUGACAAAUGGACUGAAGCAGCUCAAGAUGAAAUGACUUCACUGGAGAUAAAUGAGACAUGGGAUCUCAUUGAGAGGCCAAAGGGCCAGAAGGCAAUAGGGUGCAGAUGGAUAUUCAAGAGAAAGGCAUGCAUUGCUGGAAUAGAACCACCGAGGCAUAAGGCAAGGUUGGUGGCCAAGAGAUACUCUCAAACAGAGGGGAUUGACUAUCAGGAAAUCUUUGCUCCUGUAGUCAAACAUGUUUCUAUAAGAUUCAUGCUCUCGGCGGUUACACAUUUUAACAUGGAGCUACAACAGAUGGACGUGAAGACUGCAUUUUUGCAUGGGAACCUCGAUGAAUUAAUUGUUAUGGAGCAGCCUGAGGGUUUUGUAGAUAAAAGGUAUCCAGACAGAGUAUGCAAACUCAAGAGGUCGCUGUACGGGUUGAAGCAGAGUCCGAGGCAGUGGAAUAAACGAUUUGAUGAUUUUGUGAGAUCAAAGAGUUAUACAAGGAGUGAGUAUGAUUCGUGUGUCUACUUUAAGAAGAAUGAUAAGGAAGUGUAUGUCUACAUGUUACUCUAUGUAGAUGACAUUCUUAUUGCAUCAGCGGACAAAGCUGAAGUUCAGAAGCUCAAAUCUGUAAUGGGAAAGGAGUUUGAUAUGAAGGACUUAGGAGAUGCUAAGAAGAUUUUGGGAAUGGAGAUAACACGAGAUCGAGUUAAAGGAGAGCUGUCUAUAUCACUAGAAGAGUAUUUAUGGAAAGUUUUAGGUAAAUUCGAGAUGGAUCAGUGUAAAUCAGUUGCUACUCCUCUAGGUGCUCACUUCUCACUCAAGGCAGCAACGGAUAAGGAGCUUCAGGAUCAGGAGGAGUACUUGAAGAAGGUUCCCUAUCAGAAUGCAGUAGGGAGUGUGAUGUAUUCAAUGGUUGGGACUCGACCUGAUCCAGGAUAUGCAGUUGGUGUGAUCAGUCGGUUUAUGUCGCGGCCAAUUAAAGAACAUUGGCAAGCUGUAAAGUGGGUUCUUAGAUACAUAAACGGAUCAGUUGACAUUAAGCUAAGCUUUAAAAGGAAGGGUGAUUUUGUAGUCAAAGGCUAUUGUGACUCAGAUUAUGGUGGUGAUUUGGAUCAUGCUAAGUCAACAACUGAGAUGGUUUUUACAGCAGGUGGUAACCUUGUUAGCUGGAGGUCUUCUUUGCAGAAGGUUGUGGCUUUAUCUACAACUGAGGCGGAGUAUAUUGCAUUAUCUGAGGCAGUGAAAGAAGACGUCUGGCUGAAGAGAUUUGCAGAGAAGUUGGGGUUUUCACAAGACACAGUUGAGAUAUUCUGUGAUAGUCAAAGUGAUAUUGCAUUGUCAAAGAAUGCGGUGUUCCAUGAGCGAACUAAACACAUGGCUACUAAGUACCAUUUUAUCAGAGACUUGAUCAAAGUGGGGGAGGUUCAAGUGUUGAAGAUAGCUGCUACAGCUAAUAACCCGGCGGAUAUUUUCACUAAGGUCUUGCAAGUAUUCAAGAUGAGAGAAGCAUUGAAGAUGCUUCGAGUUACCAAAGACUGAAGUCUAAGGAGAAGUCUUGAAGUCCGGUCAAGGACUCAAGGAGGAGCUCCGUGAAGAGUUUCAAGUAGAAGCUUCGUGAAGUACCAGGUACGUGAUAUGUGAAAGUGUUUUGUUCUGGAUUAGAGAAUGAGGUUAUCAUCCAAGCUUGUGAUAAGGAGGAGAUUUGUUGGUUAUAGACAAGCCUUACGCUCGGUUUAGGUUCAAUUGAUUAGGUUUAUAUUAGAUUCGGUAUAGAAUGGUUAAGCUUGUAAGUGUAUUGAACCGGCCUCUCUCUUAUGUUAGGAAACAUGCGUGCGGUUUGUGCAUGUGUGACGGUUAGCUAACUUGAUUCGUAUAAGAGUUGGUUAGCUGAGGAUAAGUGUUGAUCACUUGAGCUGAUUAGGUUGUUAGAUCAGUGAUCAAGAGAAUCAACGAGAGAGAGUGAGCAAGGUGAACGAAUUGUAAAGACGGUGGCUCGAGCCGUGAGUUCAUUCGUUGAAGGCUAGUCAGUUGCUGGUUCAAUCCCAGCUCCGGUGAAGUAUAGCGGCCACUCCUAGUUAACGGAGUGGUGCAGUGAACACCGGGUCAACAUCUCGCGUGUGCUCCUUUGUUCUGUUGAUUCAAGAAGACUAGAAGAAGAAGAUCACAAGUUAAGGUUGUGUUGAAGAUAGGACGAUCUUCACAAAUAGCUAUGAAAAAUAGUGCAGAUUAUUUCUUAUCGUUAAAGCAUAACUGAGGAAAAAAACUAGAGCACGAAAUGACGAAAAACAACACUUCAAUCAACAUUUAAACAUUCCACUGAUGUCAAACCAAAUUCGAAAAAUGAAGAACGUGAAAUAAUUUCAGCUAAAAUCCCCUCAUAUUCCGAAGAUUUCAUCCUCACUUUGAAGAAACCAAACGGGGCAACCAGAUCACUGCAUAUAAAAAACAGAGAAAAUAAUUGAGGAAUCCCUAAGAAUUUGAUUAUUCGUCAAUAUAUAAUCAGUCACUACUUUUAACUUUUUUUUAAAUUUCAUCAUCAUUGGGAUUCAACCAAAAGCCACACAAAUGAAAAUUCUAUACUUAGAUCAAACACACAAAAACUCACUGAAUUAAUAUUGAUAAGAACAGAUUAACAAGUAAUACAAGAUCAAAACAGAGAAGCAGUUAAAAGUCCCUCAGAGUCAGAGUUGAAAUAUCGUCAAAAAGAUAUCAGUCGCUACUUUUAACAUUUUUAAUCAUAAUUAGUUAUCAUAAGCGUUUCAUUAACGCUUUAAAUCGAAAAACCUAAUAAUAAGCAUUUAAAAGACUUGGUUUUAAUUUGAUGAUGAACAAUUCCGAUUUAUGAGAUGGCUUGGAAAACAAUGGUUUUGAUAUUGAUUUGAUACCAUCAAAUAGAAUAACAGAACGAGAAUUAAAAAAUAUGAACAAUUUCAGCUUCUUUGAUUUUAAAGAGAAAGACACUACAAACAAAGUGAUGAGCUGCGCUUAAGAUAAAAAACUAGGAACUAGUGUUGUAACAUCCCAUCUCGUGGUAUAAAGUGAUUUACUGUUGGCUGAUUAUUUGUUUAUGAAUUAUGCAUUAAAAUAUUCUAGUAAGAUAUCAUUCCUACCAAACCCAGGGACCGUGACUGGGGAAUUAAACAGAGAGGAUUGUAACGUACGUAUGCAUAACGUAGGCUUCUUUUUUUUUUUUUUAUAAGUAUGUGAAUAUUCAUUACCAAGAUAAUGACACAAGGAAGAUACAAUCAGUUCUUGCAGAAACAAAAUCUUAUGCAUCUUAAAUAGCUAGCUAAAGCAGAGGUCAAAGAGAACCCCCAAAAAAAAAAUAAAAAAGACUCCCAAACACAAAAAGGUUUAAUCCAAGCCCGAAGGCUAAGAUUAAAGCUUGGCAAGACAAAGACUAAUUGCAGCAAUCUAAAUUCCAGUAGUUCUACGCUUUAUCUCGUCACCGGACCUGCGACAAGAGCGACAAACAUUAGAGAGAAACAGCCGGAGAAUAAUUCCAGGUUCCGAGAAUUAUCCCGAAGACGACUCCAGAAGGGCUAAGAGGCGAAGCAGGCUUGGCAAGUUCCUGGUCCGGCUUUCACCCAGAGGAGUCCACUCCAGACGCCGUACGUCUCCAGCCGUGCUCUGAAGAUCCCAAACCAAAGACGAGAAGCUAGUAUAUAAAGCACGGAGCAUCACCGGCGGAAGCAAGCAGAGAUUUUAGGCACUCGAAUCCGGUCCCUUCACACGAGAUAAGCUUUGAAAAGAUUCCAGCUUCAAAUCAGAGAUAAGGCAAAGCACGGGACUGUCAACUUCCUUUUGAAACUCUGAAGAACAGAGGAGUUGGAAAACUCCAAAUCAAUAGGCGGCACACACAGCCACCACGCUUGCUGCAACCAGAAUCCGAAACUAAAGAAGUCCCCAGCGAAGCCUCGGUUCGCCUUUAACAUCAUCGCUCCGAAGAUCUCGAUGGGGAAGUUCUACAGUAGCAACCAACAGAGGACAUAACUAGAGACAAGAGGAGGCUGAACAACUGACCAGAGAGACAAAGGCAGCGACGCUUUGUUUCCGGCAAACCCUCCACGGCGGAUCUGACCCAGAUCUGACCGAAAUCGAGUCAAGAUCUGACCUCAAGUUGGAGCUUCCUGAUGAUAAGCGGCCAAGCACGACAUCGCCAACACUCCAGGGAAGCUGAGCACCCACCCAGCUACCGUUUAGAUCUACCGGAUCCGGCCGCUAUCCGGUGGAAAUCCACAGAUGUUAAAGCAAGGAAAAAGUGAAAUAACCGCUUAAACGACAGAUUAUGAGGCUAGCAAGAAAGAGGGGAAGGAGGGGGUGGCGGCCGACGGUUGAUAAGGCACCGUCAACCACCGGAGCUGAAAUCUAUAGGAGGCUACGAGUAAAAAUACGUCGGGAGAGAAAGAGAAGAGAGAAAAUAUUCUCUCACCUCUCUCUAACUUUUUAUAUAUAAGGUAGGCUUUUAUUAAAACGGAAACAUCAAAAACACCUUCAAUAAUAGCAUUGAAGCCUUACGUUUAGCAAAGAGAAAUACACACACACACACACAUAUAUAUACAUAUAUUUAUAUCACGCAAAAAGAUGUUUCUCGAGACGUGGACUGAUCAUAACCUCAAGAGGCGUUGCUUUAGGAAUGGUCAAGCCAGGGCUCUCACUCAUAUCAACAGCCACAUCCAAAUCAGUUUUCACGUCAAACGAAUGAAGAAAACGAGCAAGACCUAGAUGAAGCACUUGCAUAGCCAAUGAAGACCCUGGGCAUGAUCUUCUUCCCGAACCAAACGGGAUCAGCUCAAAGUUCUGUCCUCUAACAUCAAACUCUUUUGCUUCUCCUGUAAGAAACCUCUCUGGUCUGAACUCGUUUGGUUCUACCCAAACUUUCGGAUCUCUUUGGAUUUUCCAUACGUUCACUAUCAGUCUUGUGCCACAAGAAACGUGGUAACCUGCGAUUGUACAAUCUUCCAUCGCCUCUCGAGGGCCUAAGAGAGGACCAGCUGGAUAUAGUCUCAAUGUUUCUUUGAUGAUCGCUUGAAGAUACCCCAGAUUUUCUAUGUCUGAAUCCUCGACGUUCCUAUCUGUGCCAACUUGGAGGUCUAUCUCAUCUUGCGCUUUCUUUAACAUGUCUUUGUUGUUUAGAAGAAGAGCAAUGGCCCAUGUGAGAGUUGAAGCUGUAGUGUCACUUCCUCCAAGAAUCAGUGCCUGGCCAUUCAAAUUUGUAGCAUUAUAUACAUCAGAAGAGAUAAAACAAUAAAUAAAUAACGGAAAUCUUUUAAAUUUCACAAAAGUAUAAUAAUAUAGCACAUAAGAGGUCAAAUCCACAAAAUAAUGUUCAUUAGAAGAUAAAAUGACUAAAUUUAUUCAAAUCCCACCCCUUAAUUACACACUAAACCGUACACUUAUUAGUCACUAAAUCAUGAACUCAAAUAUAAAAUAAAAAGUUCUUUAACUUUUAAUAAAUGAUAUUUUAGAAAAAAGUCUCUUUGAUGUUACUUUGGAACAAGAAUAUGUUUUAUUGUUAUAGUGUUGUAUUUUUGCAAAAAUUGGGUUAAAGGUGUACCAGACAGGUAGAUUUGAUGCUAGUAUUUGCAUCAUAUUGCAGAUGGGAGAGUUUGCCUUGUUCCGCAAGUGACAACAUAACAUCAAUGAAGUCUGAAUCGUUCUCUUUAUUUCCUGAAACUUUUCGUUGUUGCCGAUGGUUCUCGAUCCAUCUUUCGAGAAUAACAUCUAGUUCGCUACCCGUUUUCUUCAUCUCCUUCUCAUGUCCUUGCAGAUCAAACCACCCUAGAGUCGGAAAAGCAUCGGACAUUGUGAAUAUACCGAUGAGGUGAAAGAACUUUGUGAUGGCCUUUUGGCAUUGCCUCGCCUCUUCGGUGUCUUCAGGGGUUGUUGAGCCACCGCCAAAGUAUCGUUUUCCGGCCACCAUUCUUACGAUCAUGUUCAGUGUCAUGUCCUCUAACCACCUCUUUAGAUCAACCAUUACUGGUUCUGAACCACCUUUCUUGACCCACAAGGAAUACAAAUCUUUCACACCUGCAUGCAUGUGAGACAUCACAUAGUAUUACAAUAACGUAACAGUAUUCAACAACUAUUGUAAUAGAUUAUAUAAGAUAUGAUUGAUAACAAAGUUGUAUAAAUAGACACUAGACCGUAAUAAUUGUCGCGCAAAACCGAUUAUGAACACGACCGAAUAAAAAACAUUAGUCUUGACCCCUAGAUUUCAAAGUUAUAUGUUGCAUGACUCCUAAACUGUCGAAAAUUUCUUUUGUUAAAAUUAACAUUAAGUUUAUUGUCUUCUAAAUCUGACAUCCGGCCUUCCCAGAUAUAUUGUUUUUAACUAAAUCGAAUUUUUUACAUGUUUUUUGUAUUACCCAUUGAGAUUUCUGAAACGCGGACGUGCUUGAGCAUCUGAAGCCGCCGGUUAGAAAGUAGCUCGAUGGUUGCGAUCUUACGCAUCUCGCGCCAGAAAGAACUGUAUGGUGCAAACCCGAAGACAGCAUAGUUGUAGCCCAUAUGCUUUGCGGCGGCAGUCAUAGGUCGUGAAGCCAAGGCUUUGUCAUUCACAGUGAAACACUCUUUAGCAACCUCAAAACUGCUCACAACAAAUGCUUCACUGCUCCCGAGUCGUAACGACAUGGCUGGACCGUAACGGUUAGCCAUUUCUCCUAAAGUUCGAUAGAGAAGUUGUUCCUUGCCACCGAGAAGGUGAAGAUGGCCGAUGAUGGGCCAUGCACCGCUUGGUUCGGGAGCUUUUACAUGUUUUGGCUUCUUUGUUUUCUUGAAAAGAGCAAUCAAAACGAAAACGAGGAGUGGAGAUAAUAAGGAAAAUAAGAAAGCAUCCAUAGCGCUUUGAUAGUGAAAAGAGAUGUGUUUGGUGGGUUCUAUGUUUCGAAUGAUCAUCUCUAUAUAUAUAUGAACUGUACAGUGAGAUGCAAGUAUGAGGCACCGAAUGAUCCUGCAAGAUCCAUGCAUGAAUUUACUUUGUUCUAUCAAAUAUCAUAUAUCUAUUGGUUACACGCAAGGAAUUUCGAGUGAUUACUUAUUUAAUGCAUUAUUUGUUGUUUCCCUAGUGAAGUGCAUGUGUGGACCUCGUCACCAAAAUUAGAAAUUUAAAGUUAAGUCAACAUUGUGUUUGCACAAUAUUAGAAGUCAGUCAUAUCAGUGGGUUGGUAAUGAUUUUCAACUUGCAAAGUAUAUAGUUACUACGAGUUUCCGUGCGCCAAGCGCAGAAAUAAUAAUUUUUAACAUAACAUUUUUUAUUUCAAAAGAAAAUUUUGAUUUAUAUUUCAACAUUAUUAAUUUAUAUUUUAACUUCAAUAGUUAUAAAAAAUCAUAAACGUAUUUUUGUAAUCUUAUUUUUUUUAUUUGGUAUAAUUAUUUAAAUUUGAUUUGAUUUAAUUUUUAAUAAAGGUAAAAUUAGAUUU
This 12551-nucleotide long non-coding RNA is filed under the name Brassica napus (rape). RNAcentral describes it as "long non-coding RNA (BNAP_LNC014567)". The record is from RNAcentral. Lineage: Eukaryota; Viridiplantae; Streptophyta; Magnoliopsida; Brassicales; Brassicaceae.